GACGGAGGAUGCAAGUGUUAUCCGGAAUCACUGGGCGUAAAGCGUCUGUAGGUGGUUUAAUAAGUCAACUGUUAAAUCUUGAGGCUCAACCUCAAAAUCGCAGUCGAAACUAUUAGGCUAGAGUAUAGUAGGGGUAAAGGGAAUUUCCAGUGGAGCGGUGAAAUGCGUAGAGAUUGGAAAGAACACCGAUGGCGAAGGCACUUUACUGGGCUAUUACUAACACUCAGAGACGAGAGCUAGGGUAGCAAAUGGG
RNAcentral lists this ribosomal RNA (253 nucleotides) under uncultured bacterium. Its description in RNAcentral is "partial 16S ribosomal RNA". It matches the Rfam family "Bacterial small subunit ribosomal RNA", at positions 524 to 776 of the family's 1533-position model. The record is from RNAcentral.